GAUGAACGCUGGCGGCGUGCCUAAUACAUGCAAGUCGAGCGAACAGAUGAGGCUCUUGCUCCUCUGCCGUUAGCGGCGGGCGGGUGAGUAACACGUGGAUAACCUACCUAUAAGACUGGGAUAACUUAGGGAAACCGGAGCUCAUAUCCGAUCUUAUAUUGAACCGCAUGGUUCAAUAGUCAAAGACGGUUUUGCUGUCACUUAUACGUGGAUCCUCGCCGCAGUAGCUAGUUGGUACGGUAACGGCUUACCAAGACAACGAUGCGUAGCCGACCUGUGAGGGGGAGAGGCCACACUGGAACAGAGACACGGGCCACAGUCCUACGGGAGGCGGAGGUGGGGAAACUUCCGCAAUGGGCGAAAGCCUGACGGAGCAACGCCGCGUGAGUGAGGAAGGGCUUCUGAUCGUAAAACUCUGUUAUUAGGGAAGAACAAAUGUGUAAGUAACUAUGCACGUCUUGACGGUACCUAAUCAGAAAGCCACGGCUAACUACGUG
Molecule: ribosomal RNA, 497 nt
Filed under: uncultured bacterium
Lineage: Bacteria
Description: partial 16S ribosomal RNA
Rfam family: Bacterial small subunit ribosomal RNA
Source: RNAcentral